UUUUGAAUCUGUGCAGUUUUUACUCCUCCGGCUAGAACGAUUUCCUUUCUAAAAAAAAAAAAAGGAAAAAUUCUUUAAUUCCAUCCAUUUAUGUCGAAUGUUUCUGCUAUUUAUUGGGUGUGAAAGGAUGCUUCUGAACGUUAUUAGAUUGUCAAAGUGUGUUUUUUUCCCCCGCUUAAGACAGGUCACGAAUUUGUUUCCUACUGCCAUGCCCCAUUUCUAUCCUUUUUUAAAGAUAUUAUUAUCCAGUAAAAUUACUAGGCAUCGACGUUUUCGCUUAUUCGUGUAUAGGAGCAUGCGUCGAUUAUAAUCCGUAGUGGAUGAUGUCCAACUUCGAUCGACUGGCCAUCAUGCAUUGAAGCACUGUGAAAGGAUCAAAACCAAAAGCCUGGGGCGUUGGAAGAUAAACUUUUUCCUUUCCAAACUGCUCUAGAAAAUAUUAGUUUCCAGAACAGUUUCGAUAGUUUAAUAAAUUUUUUUUUUUUUCCUCCUCUUUUUUAAAAUUGGAACUUGUGCUCUUAAAAGGGAACGUUCAUGAAUUAGGUCGGGAUUAUAUAGUUCAAGGGAUGCGAUCGGUCCGUGUAUUACACUUCAAUGCCAAAUAGAAAAAUUCUGUAGUUUGUUUUUUUUCCUUGCGUCUAUUAAUUUUAAACGGGGAAAAAUCCAAAUUAAAUCUAUUAGAAAUAAAUCAUAAAAAUUCCUCUUUCGUUCCAGCCGAUUAAGAAGUUAAAAACAAAAAACAAAAUCCAUAAAAUUUAUGGUUAAGAAUUUUGUACGCGUUUCAAAUGC
RNAcentral lists this long non-coding RNA (789 nucleotides) under Androctonus crassicauda. The record is from RNAcentral. Lineage: Eukaryota; Metazoa; Arthropoda; Arachnida; Scorpiones; Buthidae.